AGAGAACAAAAUCCAGCCAGUAGUUUCUAGUUUGACUUUCAGUAUUCCCCUAGAAGCAAGCAUCCAUACAGAUGCUGUACUUCUUCUGUCCUCCCUAACUCAGAAGCCCUAAUAUGAGGAAGGAAAGCAUCAGACUGUUAGAGGAGAACAGGACCAGGCUAUCUAGAUAAAUAUGAAGACCUGCUUCAGACCAAUGAGAAGAAUUAGACAAGCAAUACGCAAGUGUGCAGACUUUCUGAGAAGGAUCAGCCAGCAUCACCUUCCUUCUUUGGGCUUAGGUCAGCACGUUUCUGCCAUCAACAUGACUACCGAUUAAGCAAAAACAAGGAGCAUCUUAAUUAUCAUCUGCUUUGGUUGCAUAAACGAACUUGUAAAUAAAUCUAUUGAUGUUAAAGACAAUAUCGUCAUCUUCCCAACCAACUAUAAAAGAGUUCUUAUACCAAAAGGCAUGGAAGAUACUUGGACUUGUGAGCUGA
Phodopus roborovskii (desert hamster) is the source of this 476-nucleotide long non-coding RNA. RefSeq lists it as uncharacterized. NCBI's taxonomy places the organism in Eukaryota, Metazoa, Chordata, Mammalia, Rodentia, Cricetidae. The record is from RefSeq and is a predicted model, not a curated record. The transcript has 2 exons.